GCGCGGGUGGUGUAGUGGUCAACGCGUUCGCUCAGUACAUGGCACCUCGAUCACCUACGGUGUUUGUAGUUAGGGCUGCCACCCCUGAAUGUAAAAGAUCCCGGGUUCGAACCCCGGUCUGCGCA
Sordaria macrospora k-hell is the source of this 125-nucleotide transfer RNA. It matches the Rfam family "tRNA". From Rfam's summary of the family: Transfer RNA (tRNA) molecules are approximately 80 nucleotides in length. Their secondary structure includes four short double-helical elements and three loops (D, anti-codon, and T loops). Further hydrogen bonds mediate the characteristic L-shaped molecular structure. tRNAs have two regions of fundamental functional importance: the anti-codon, which is responsible for specific mRNA codon recognition, and the 3' end, to which the tRNAs corresponding amino acid is attached (by aminoacyl-tRNA synthetases). tRNAs cope with the degeneracy of the genetic code in two manners: having more than one tRNA (with a specific anti-codon) for a particular amino acid; and 'wobble' base-pairing, i.e. permitting non-standard base-pairing at the 3rd anti-codon position. Lineage: Eukaryota; Fungi; Ascomycota; Sordariomycetes; Sordariales; Sordariaceae. The record is from Rfam.